RNAcentral lists this unclassified non-coding RNA (406 nucleotides) under uncultured Rhizophagus. RNAcentral describes it as "sequence contains 28S rRNA gene". The record is from RNAcentral. Lineage: Eukaryota; Fungi; Glomeromycota; Glomeromycetes; Glomerales; Glomeraceae.
AGUUAAACAGUACGUGAAAUUGUUGAAAGGGAAACGAUUGAAGCCAGUCGUACCUUCGGGUAAUCAGCCUUUCGGGUGCGAUUCUGUGGAGUUUGAGGAGCUUAACACCUUCAUGCUUUGCAUAUUCGUGCUCUUGGGUGUACUUGCCCGUGUGGUUGGUUAACAUCAAUUUCGGGCACCAUAAAAUGGCUGGAGGAAUGUAGCUUCGAUCUUGUAUUGAAGUGUUAUAGCCUUCGGUAGAUGUGGUGAUCGAGAUUGAGGAUUGCAACGGAUACCUUUCGGGGCUACCUGUCUGAUCUCUGAUCGUUGUUUUGGUGCUGAAAGCGUGCUUAUAGUUAUCAAAGUCGAUGGUCAAUAGGUUAGAAUGGGUUAAAUUCGUUAAGGAUGUUGACGUAAUGGCUUUAAA